AGAGUUUGAUCCUGGCUCAGGAUGAACGCUGGCGGCGUGCCUAACACAUGCAAGUCGAACGGACUCAUAUUGAAACCUAUUGAUUUAUGAGUUAGUGGCGGACGGGUGAGUAACGCGUGAAAAACCUGCCGUAUACCGGGGGAUAACACUUAAAAAUAGGUGCUAAUACCGCAUAAGCGCACAGCUUCGCAUGAAGCAGUGUGAAAAACUCCGGUGGUAUAUGAUGGUUCCGCGUCUGAUUAGCUAGUUGGCGGGGUAACGGCCCACCAAGGCAGCGAUCAGUAGCCGGCCUGAGAGGGUGAACGGCCACUUUGGGACUGACACACCGCCCAAACUCCUACGGGAGGCAGCAGUGGGGAAUAUUGCACGGUGGGGGAAACCCUGAUGCGGCGACGCCGCGUGAGUGAAGAAUUAUUUCGGUACGUAAAGCUCUAUCAGCAGGGAAGAAAAUGACGGUACCUGACUAAGAAGCCCCGGCUAACUACGUGCCAGCAGCCGCGGUAAUACGUAGGGGGCAAGCGUUAUCCGGAUUUACUGGGUGUAAAGGGAGCGUAGACGGCAGCGCAAGUCUGGAGUGAAAUGCCGGGCCCCAACCCCCGGAACUGCUUUGGAAACUGUGCAUCUUUAGGUGCGGGAGAGGUAAGUGGAAUUUCCUAGUGUAGCGGGUGAAGAUGCGUAUAUAUUAAGGAAGGACCACCCAGUGGCGAGGGCUGCUUUACUGGCACCCGUAACUGACGUUUGAAGGCUCGAAAGGCGUGGAGGAGCAAAACAGGAUUAGAUACCCUUGUUAGUCCCACGCCGUAAACGAAUGAAUUACUAGGUGUGGGGAGAACCACGGCUCCUUCGGCUGGCCGGCGCAACGUCAUUAAUUAAUCC
This 876-nucleotide ribosomal RNA is filed under the name uncultured bacterium. RNAcentral describes it as "bacterial SSU rRNA". It matches the Rfam family "Bacterial small subunit ribosomal RNA", at positions 8 to 870 of the family's 1533-position model. The record is from RNAcentral.